This 279-nucleotide ribosomal RNA is filed under the name uncultured bacterium. RNAcentral's name for it is "partial 16S ribosomal RNA". It matches the Rfam family "Bacterial small subunit ribosomal RNA", at positions 506 to 784 of the family's 1533-position model. The record is from RNAcentral.
UGCCAGCCGCCGCGGUAAUACAGAGGGUGCAAACGUUGCUCGGAAUCACUGGGCGUAAAGCGCGUGUAGGCGGGAAAUCAAGUCGGAUGUGAAAUCCCUGGGCUCAACCUAGGAACUGCACCCGAAACUGAUUACCUAGAGUGUUGGAGAGGGAAGCGGAAUUCCUGGUGUAGAGGUGUAAUUCGUAGAUAUCAGGAGGAACACCGGUGGCGAAGGCGGCUUCCUGGACAACUACUGACGCUGAGACGCGCAAGCGUGGGGAGCAAACAGGAUUAGAUA